AGCGAACGCUGGCGGCAGGCCUAACACAUGCAAGUCGAACGGACCUUUCGGGGUUAGUGGCGGACGGGUGAGCAACACGUGGGAACGUGCCUUUAGGUUCGGAAUAGCUCCUGGAAACGGGUGGUAAUGCCGAAUGUGCCCUUAGGGGGAAAGAUUUAUCGCCUUUAGAGCGGCCCGCGUCUGAUUAGCUAGUUGGUGAGGUAAUGGCUCACCAAGGCUACGAUCAGUAGCUGGUCUGAGAGGAUGACCAGCCACAUUGGGACUGAGACACGGCCCAAACUCCUACGGGAGGCAGCAGUGGGGAAUCUUGCGCAAUGGGCGAAAGCCUGACGCAGCCAUGCCGCGUGGACGAUGAAGGUCUUAGGAUUGUAAAAUCCUUUCACCGGUGAAGAUAAUGACUGUAGCCGGAGAAGAAGCCCCGGCUAACUUCGUGCCAGCAGCCGCCGUAA
This 449-nucleotide ribosomal RNA is filed under the name uncultured bacterium. RNAcentral's name for it is "partial 16S ribosomal RNA". It matches the Rfam family "Bacterial small subunit ribosomal RNA", at positions 29 to 523 of the family's 1533-position model. The record is from RNAcentral.